GUGAGGAAUUUUCCACAAUGGGCGAAAGCCUGACGGAGCAAUGCCGCGUGAAGGAUGAAGGCCUAUGGGUUGUAAACUUCUUUUCUCAGAAAAGAAUUAUGACGGUAUCUGAGGAAUAAGCAUCGGCUAACUCUGUGCCAGCAGCCGCGGUAAGACAGAGGAUGCAAGCGUUAUCCGGAAUGAUUGGGCGUAAAGCGUCUGUAGGUUGUUUAAAAAGUAUUCUGUCAAAGAUUAGGGCUUAACCCUAGAUAGGCAGAAUAAACUUUUAAGCUAGAGUUUGGUAGAGGCAGAGGGAAUUCCCGGUGGAGCGGUGAAAUGCGUAGAUAUCGGGAGGAACACCAAAGGCGAAGGCACUCUGCUGGGCCAAUACUAACACUGAGAGACGAAAGCGAGGGGAGCAAAUGGGAUUAGAAACCCGGGUAGUCC
RNAcentral lists this ribosomal RNA (426 nucleotides) under uncultured bacterium. RNAcentral describes it as "partial 16S ribosomal RNA". It matches the Rfam family "Bacterial small subunit ribosomal RNA", at positions 354 to 796 of the family's 1533-position model. The record is from RNAcentral.